GGAGUACUACGCUAACCCCAAGGAUACAAGCCAUGCAAGCAAACACGAGGUACGAAGGGGCGGACGGCUCGGUACAACGGUGGGAGUCGGACCGGGGGUGAAGGCUAGACGGAUACGGCUGGCAACCCAGCACCAAGACGAGUGCUCAAGAGCGAGAAGGGAGAGGACGCAAAGGAGCGAAUGCCCGGAGGAGGUUCCGAGGUAUUACCUGGUCGGUAGAGUAGUGGUCUACGGAGGGGAUGAUG
RNAcentral lists this ribosomal RNA (245 nucleotides) under Giardia sp. Its description in RNAcentral is "partial small subunit ribosomal RNA". Lineage: Eukaryota; Fornicata; Diplomonadida; Hexamitidae. The record is from RNAcentral.